RNAcentral lists this ribosomal RNA (156 nucleotides) under Enterococcus faecium. Its description in RNAcentral is "partial 23S ribosomal RNA". It matches the Rfam family "Bacterial large subunit ribosomal RNA", at positions 1 to 151 of the family's 2925-position model. Lineage: Bacteria; Bacillati; Bacillota; Bacilli; Lactobacillales; Enterococcaceae. The record is from RNAcentral.
GAUAAGGUUAAGUGAAUAAGGGCGCACGGUGGAUGCCUUGGCACUAGGAGCCGAUGAAGGACGGGACUAACACCGAUAUGCUUUGGGGAGCUGUACGUAAGCUAUGAUCCAGAGAUUUCCGAAUGGGGGAACCCAGCAUCUUUAAUAGGAUGUUAC